This 433-nucleotide ribosomal RNA is filed under the name uncultured bacterium. Its description in RNAcentral is "partial 16S ribosomal RNA". It matches the Rfam family "Bacterial small subunit ribosomal RNA", at positions 29 to 507 of the family's 1533-position model. The record is from RNAcentral.
AACGAACGCUGGCGGCAUGCCUAACACAUGCAAAUCGAACGAGACCUUCGGGUCUAGUGGCGCACGGGUGCGUAACGCGUGGGAACCUGCCCUUAGGUUCGGAAUAACUCCCCGAAAGGGGUGCUAAUACCGGAUAAUGUCUUCGGACCAAAGAUUUAUCGCCUUUGGAUGGGCCCGCGUUGGAUUAGCUAGUUGGUAGGGUAAAAGCCUACCAAGGCGACGAUCCAUAGCUGGUCUGAGAGGAUGAUCAGCCACACUGGGACUGAGACACGGCCCAGACUCCUACGGGAGGCAGCAGUGGGGAAUAUUGGACAAUGGGCGAAAGCAUGAUCCAGCAAUGCCGCGUGAGUGAUGAAGGCCUUAGGGUUGUAAAGCUCUUUUACCCGGGAUGAUAAUGACAGUACCGGGAGAAUAAGCUCCGGCUAACUCCGUG